CUCUAGAGAUAGAGCUUUCCCCUUCGGGGGACAAAGUGACAGGUGGUGCAUGGUUGUCGUCAGCUCGUGUCGUGAGAUGUUGGGUUAAGUCCCGCAACGAGCGCAACCCUUAAGCUUAGUUGCCAUCAUUAAGUUGGGCACUCUAGGUUGACUGCCGGUGACAAACCGGAGGAAGGUGGGGAUGACAUCAAAUCAUCAUGCCCCUUAUGAUUUGGGCUACACACGUGCUACAAUGGACAAUACAAAGGGCAGCUAAACCGCGAGGUCAUGCAAAUCCCAUAAAGUUGUUCUCAGUUCGGAUUGUAGUCUGCAACUCGACUACAUGAAGCUGGAAUCGCUAGUAAUCGUAGAUCAGCAUGCUACGGUGAAUACGUUCCCGGGUCUUGUACACACCGCCCGUCACACCACGAGAGUUUGUAACACCCGAAGCCGGUGGAGUAACCAUUUAUGGAGCUAGCCGUCGAAGGUGGGACAAAUGAUUGGGGUGAAGUCGUAACAAGGUAGCCGUAUCGGAAGGUG
This 519-nucleotide ribosomal RNA is filed under the name uncultured bacterium. Its description in RNAcentral is "bacterial SSU rRNA". It matches the Rfam family "Bacterial small subunit ribosomal RNA", at positions 998 to 1514 of the family's 1533-position model. The record is from RNAcentral.